This 477-nucleotide ribosomal RNA is filed under the name uncultured organism. RNAcentral's name for it is "partial 16S ribosomal RNA". It matches the Rfam family "Bacterial small subunit ribosomal RNA", at positions 333 to 801 of the family's 1533-position model. The record is from RNAcentral.
ACACUCCUGCGGGAGGCAGCAGUAGGGAAUCUUCGGCAAUGGGGGCAACCCUGACCGAGCAACGCCGCGUGAGUGAAGAAGGUUUUCGGAUCGUAAAGCUCUGUUGUAAGUCAAGAACGAGUGUGAGAGUGGAAAGUUCACACUGUGACGGUAGCUUACCAGAAAGGGACGGCUAACUACGUGCCAGCAGCCGCGGUAAUACGUAGGUCCCGAGCGUUGUCCGGAUUUAUUGGGCGUAAAGCGAGCGCAGGCGGUUUGAUAAGUCUGAAGUUAAAGGCUGUGGCUCAACCAUAGUUCGCUUUGGAAACUGUCAAACUUGAGUGCAGAAGGGGAGAGUGGAAUUCCAUGUGUAGCGGUGAAAUGCGUAGAUAUAUGGAGGAACACCGGUGGCGAAAGCGGCUCUCUGGUCUGUAACUGACGCUGAGGCUCGAAAGCGUGGGGAGCGAACAGGAUUAGAAACCCGGGUAGUCCCAUGAU